This 65-nucleotide transfer RNA is filed under the name Metaphire sieboldi (earthworm). RNAcentral describes it as "tRNA-Thr". The record is from RNAcentral. Lineage: Eukaryota; Metazoa; Annelida; Clitellata; Crassiclitellata; Megascolecidae.
GAAUUGAAAGCUAAAAUUGUAAGCAGCGACCUUGUAAGUCGAAGAUAGGGAACACCCUCAAUUCU